This 482-nucleotide ribosomal RNA is filed under the name uncultured bacterium. Its description in RNAcentral is "partial 16S ribosomal RNA". It matches the Rfam family "Bacterial small subunit ribosomal RNA", at positions 30 to 507 of the family's 1533-position model. The record is from RNAcentral.
AUUGAACGCUGGCGGCAUGCCUUACACAUGCAAGUCGAACGGUAACAGGUCUUCGGAUGCUGCCGAGUGGCGAACGGGUGCGUAAUACAUCGGAACGUGCCCGAUCGUGGGGGAUAACGAGGCGAAAGCUUUGCUAAUACCGCAUACGAUCUACGGAUGAAAGCGGGGGAUCUUCGGACCUCGCGCGGCCGGAGCGGCCGAUGGCAGCUUAGGUAGUUGGUGGGAUAAAAGCUUACCAAGCCGACGAUCUGUAGCUGGUCUGAGAGGAUGAUCAGCCACACUGGAACUGAGACACGGCCCAGACUCCUACGGGAGGCAGCAGUGGGGAAUUUUGGACAAUGGGCGAAAGCCUGAUCCAGCCAUGCCGCGUGCAGGAUGAAGGCCUUCGGGUUGUAAACUGCUUUUGUACGGAACGAAAAGCCUCUUUCUAAUAAAGAGGGGUCAUGACGGUACCGUAAGAAUAAGCACCGGCUAACUACGUG